The sequence is a small nucleolar RNA, 103 nucleotides long. It matches the Rfam family "Small nucleolar RNA Z107/R87". Rfam says of the family: Z107 and R87 are members of the C/D class of snoRNA which contain the C (UGAUGA) and D (CUGA) box motifs. The record is from Rfam.
GAUCGCGGUGAUGACUCAGUAAAAUUCAAGCUCAACAGACCGGAAUGCAGGCUUCUCUUUUCGAGAACUUUGCGUGUCGACAACCCCGCUGAACUGAGCGAUC